UGUAAAUGGACGGUUAUGCUCCUCUGGGC
RNAcentral lists this non-coding RNA (29 nucleotides) under Mus musculus (house mouse). The record is from RNAcentral. Lineage: Eukaryota; Metazoa; Chordata; Mammalia; Rodentia; Muridae.